GAUGAACGCUAGCUACAGGCUUAACACAUGCAAGUCGAGGGGCAUCAGGAAGAAAGCUUGCUUUCUUUGCUGGCGACCGGCGCACGGGUGAGUAACACGUAUCCAACCUGCCCUUUACUCGGGGAUAGCCUUUCGAAAGAAAGAUUAAUACCCGAUAGCAUAAUGAUUCCGCAUGGUUUCAUUAUUAAAGGAUUCCGGUAAAGGAUGGGGAUGCGUUCCAUUAGGUUGUUGGUGAGGUAACGGCCCACCAAGCCUUCGAUGGAUAGGGGGACUGAGAGGUUAACCCCCCACAUUGGUACUGAGACACGGACCAA
Molecule: ribosomal RNA, 314 nt
Filed under: uncultured bacterium
Lineage: Bacteria
Description: bacterial SSU rRNA
Rfam family: Bacterial small subunit ribosomal RNA
Source: RNAcentral